AAGGAUUUAAGUUAUCUUAAACUAUCAACCUUCAAAGUUGAAAACAGCGGAGUAAGCUAAGCCUUA
RNAcentral lists this transfer RNA (66 nucleotides) under Cucujoidea sp. 9 KM-2017. RNAcentral describes it as "tRNA-Trp". The record is from RNAcentral. Lineage: Eukaryota; Metazoa; Arthropoda; Insecta; Coleoptera.